Molecule: long non-coding RNA, 478 nt
Organism: Triticum dicoccoides
Lineage: Eukaryota; Viridiplantae; Streptophyta; Magnoliopsida; Poales; Poaceae
Exons: 2
Source: RefSeq, a predicted model, not a curated record
CUCAGGUUCUGCUGGUUCUGCUGGUCAGACGUCUGGUCCACCACCGCACUCUUCGUCAGGAUCGUCGUACGGGGACUCUGGUUGGGAUCGGUCCUCGGCGCCAUGACUCUCAGCGCCUUUGGGAGCUCGAUUGGCUGCGCCUUCCUUCCGCUGCGUCCUCUAGCCAGUCGGACAUCACCACCCCUUUUGCUUCAGCUGCCACCUCCACCACAUCCUUCGCACAGUGGCAUCAUCAAUUGGGUCACAUUUGUGGCUCCCGCUUGUCUUCUUUGGUUAGGAGUGGUGUUCUAGGGUCUGUAUCUGGUGAUAGUUCACUAACUUGUAUGGGUUGUAAGCUUGGCAAGCAGAUACAACUUCCAUAUCCCUCUAGUAAUUCUGUUUCUCAACGACCUUUUGAACUUGUUCACUCUGAUGUAUGGGGUCCUGCCCCCUUUGUUUCGAAAGGGGGUCACAAAUAUUAUAUAAUUUUCAUUGAUGA